Molecule: long non-coding RNA, 1379 nt
Organism: Siniperca chuatsi (mandarin fish)
Lineage: Eukaryota; Metazoa; Chordata; Actinopteri; Centrarchiformes; Sinipercidae
Exons: 4
Source: RefSeq, a predicted model, not a curated record
AGGUGGUGGCGAUGAUGAAGGGCUCUCGGUGAUGAGGAUGGGGAGCAGCCUGUCACUUUGAUUUACUCUCAAAUUAGAACACAGCAGAAUAGCGUGAAUGAGAGCAACACGAGACAACCACAUACACAUAUAUAGGCCUAUGUGUUGAAUAUAGAAGAUGCGUUUCUGUGUACAGCAUGUGGCCAAAAGUAUGUGGACACCUAAACAUUACACCCAUAUUUGAUUGUCGUUCCAAAACCAUAGAAAUUACAGGGUUUGUUUUGUUUUGUUUUUCUCAACUUACUCACAUUUCUAAAAAAAAAAAAAACAAAUCCAAAGUUACCAACUGCUUAACCACGUUUUCCUAAAACUGUGCACUCAUCCUACUCACGUUUUCCUUAUCGGAAUCGAGCUCUAAGGACAGACGGUGCCGUAUGUUGUACAGACUGUAAAGCCCCUUGAGGCAAAUUUGUGAAUUAAUGGACUAAUAAAUCAAAUUGACUUGACUUAGUAAACACACCUUCCAAAAACUUUGGACACUCUUACCCAAAAUCAGAUAUUACCAUUAUCUUCACACACACCCACACACACACACACACACACACACACACACACACACACUUACUAUAGGGGUAUACACCUCCCAUCUGAAACGUAAUUAGCAACACGUGCUGUGAACACAACAUUAAACCAUUUUAAACGCAACUGCCAGAAUUUGUGUUGGGAACUUUUUGGUUGACACAAACAUUUGUGUUUUGAAACUGAAAGAUGUCGAAGUUACAAAUGGAAGUAGAAUACGGUAAAAAAAAAAAAAAAAAAAAAAACAAUCCCUUACAGAGAGGUGAACAUCUGCAUGUCCCCUGCCUGACUGAUGAGCGAGGAUGGACACUGGAUACUUCAUGAGGCCACUGAUCAUUAAAACAACAACAACAACAUGUGUUUGCAUAGCUUCUGUUGUUGUGUGUGGGAGUGUUUGUGUACAUGUGUCCAUCCCCGGUCUUGCUCUGACAUUCUCCGCGGCUCAUCGGCAGUCAGCCCUGAAGAAUGACUUGGAAAUGGCCGUUGCAGCGUGCAGCUCGCCUGGGGUGACUCGCGGGCCGUUGCCAUGGCAGUGCAAGGUGACGACCGCAGAGAUCUCCCCAUGCAGCCGGUGAUGAGAAAGGAGUCUGCUUUGCCACCGCACCCAUACAGGGAGCUGAACAAGUUCCUGUCAGUGGGAAGCUCUCACUGUGAAUAACUUAAUCACAACCUGAAGGCAUCAGUGUCUGUGCACGACUUUUGCAAGAAAUUCUGGGCCUCUAUCAAGGAGUUGUCUUGUACUAUGCAAGCGAAGCAAGCGUGAACAGACAGGUGUGAAAUCAGCUUGUCAGGAGAGAGAAGACAAUCUCCAGCAAAUACAG